RNAcentral lists this ribosomal RNA (112 nucleotides) under Bacteroidetes bacterium MED-G17. RNAcentral also lists the same sequence under 1 other name. Lineage: Bacteria; Pseudomonadati; Bacteroidota. The record is from RNAcentral.
UAGGGUGACAAUAGCAUGUGGGCCCACCUCUUCCCAUAUCGAACAGAGAAGUUAAGCCACAUAGCGCUGAUGAUACUUGGGUAAUACUUGGGAAAGUAAGUCGUUGCCAAAU